AUACGUAGGUGGCGAGCGUUGUCCGGAUUUACUGGGUGUAAAGGGAGCGCAGGCGGGACAGCAAGUUGGAUGUGAAAUACCGAGGCUUAACCUCGGAGCUGCAUCCAAAACUGCCGUUCUUGAGUGAAGUAGAGGUAGGCGGAAUUCCGAGUGUAGCGGUGAAAUGCGUAGAUAUUCGGAGGAACACCGGUGGCGAAGGCGGCCUACUGGGCUUUAACUGACGCUGAGGCUCGAAAGUGUGGGGAGC
This 247-nucleotide ribosomal RNA is filed under the name uncultured bacterium. Its description in RNAcentral is "partial 16S ribosomal RNA". It matches the Rfam family "Bacterial small subunit ribosomal RNA", at positions 523 to 769 of the family's 1533-position model. The record is from RNAcentral.